UGAUCCUGCGCCGAGGAUGUCCGGGGCUAAAACUUACUACGGGAGGUACGGCAUCAGUAAUGAUGGGUAUGGGCGCUUCCCAUACGGGUUGAAGCAUGACCGUAAGGACAUGUGGACAGUAUGGGAGUGAGAAUGUUGGCAUGAGUAGCGAGAUGUGGGGGAGAAUCCAACAGGCCGUAAACCCAAGGUUUCCAGGGGAAGGUUCGUCCGCCCUGGGUUAGUCGGGACCUAAGCUGAGGCCGAAAGGCGUAGGUGAUGGACAACAGGUUGAUAUUCCUGUACUACCGAUAACC
Molecule: ribosomal RNA, 293 nt
Filed under: Clostridioides difficile
Lineage: Bacteria; Bacillati; Bacillota; Clostridia; Peptostreptococcales; Peptostreptococcaceae
Description: partial 23S ribosomal RNA
Rfam family: Bacterial large subunit ribosomal RNA
Source: RNAcentral